RNAcentral lists this ribosomal RNA (469 nucleotides) under uncultured bacterium. RNAcentral's name for it is "bacterial SSU rRNA". It matches the Rfam family "Bacterial small subunit ribosomal RNA", at positions 329 to 794 of the family's 1533-position model. The record is from RNAcentral.
UUCCAGACUCCUACGGGAGGCAGCAGUGAGGAAUAUUGGUCAAUGGGCUUACGCCUGAACCAGCCAAGUCGCGUGAGGGAAGACUGCCCUAUGGGUUGUAAACCUCUUUUGUCAGGGAGCAACGCCGGCUACGUGUAGCCGGACUGAGAGUACCUGAAGAAUAAGCACCGGCUAACUACGUGCCAGCAGCCGCGGUAAUACGUAGGGUGCGAGCGUUAAUCGGAAUUACUGGGCGUAAAGGGUGUGCAGGCGGUUUUGCAAGAUGGAUGUGAAAGCCCCGGGCUUAACCUGGGAAAGCCGUACAUGACUGCAAGACUAGAGUGCGUCAGAGGGGGGUGGAAUUCCAAGUGUAGCAGUGAAAUGCGUAGAUAUUUGGAAGAACACCGAUGGCGAAGGCAGCCCCCUGGGACGCAACUGACGCUCAUACACGAAAGCGUGGGGAGCAAACAGGAUUAGAUACCCCCGUAAA